AGAGUUUGAUCCUGGCUCAGGAUGAACGCUGGCGGCGUGCCUAACACAUGCAAGUCGAACGGGAAUCUUCGGAUUCUAGUGGCGGACGGGUGAGUAACGCGUAAGAAUCUAACUUCAGGACGGGGACAACAGUUGGAAACGACUGCUAAUACCCGAUGUGCCGCAAGGUGAAACCUAAUUGGCCUGGAGAAGAGCUUGCGUCUGAUUAGCUAGUUGGUGGGGUAAAGGCCUACCAAGGCGACGAUCAGUAGCUGGUCUGAGAGGAUGAGCAGCCACACUGGGACUGAGACACGGCCCAGACUCCUACGGGAGGCAGCAGUGGGGAAUUUUCCGCAAUGGGCGAAAGCCUGACGGAGCAACGCCGCGUGAGGGAGGAAGGUCUUUGGAUUGUAAACCUCUUUUCUCAAGGAAGAAGUUCUGACGGUACUUGAGGAAUCAGCCUCGGCUAACUCCGUGCCAGCAGCCGCGGUAAUACGGGGGAGGCAAGCGUUAUCCGGAAUUAUUGGGCGUAAAGCGUCCGCAGGUGGUCAGCCAAGUCUGCCGUCAAAUCAGGUUGCUUAACGACCUAAAGGCGGUGGAAACUGGCAGACUAGAGAGCAGUAGGGGUAGCAGGAAUUCCCAGUGUAGCGGUGAAAUGCGUAGAGAUUGGGAAGAACAUCGGUGGCGAAAGCGUGCUACUGGGCUGUAUCUGACACUCAGGGACGAAAGCUAGGGGAGCGAAAGGGAUUAGAUACCCCUGUAGUCCUAGCCGUA
This 753-nucleotide ribosomal RNA is filed under the name uncultured bacterium. RNAcentral describes it as "bacterial SSU rRNA". It matches the Rfam family "Bacterial small subunit ribosomal RNA", at positions 8 to 804 of the family's 1533-position model. The record is from RNAcentral.